Molecule: unclassified non-coding RNA, 245 nt
Filed under: plant metagenome
Description: partial contains small subunit ribosomal RNA, internal transcribed spacer 1, and 5.8S ribosomal RNA
Source: RNAcentral
UCUCCGUUGGUGAACCAGCGGAGGGAUCAUUACCGAGUUUACAACUCCCAAACUCAAUGUGAACCAUACCAAACUGCUGCCUCGGUGGGGUCACGCCCCGGGGGCGUCGCAGCCCCGGAACCAGGCGCCCGCCGGAGGGACCAACCACACUCUUGCUGUAGUCCCCUCGCAGACUUUAUUUCUUACGGCUCUGAGCAAAAGUUCUAAAUGAAUCAAAACUUUCAACAACGGAUCUCUUGGUUCUG